RNAcentral lists this ribosomal RNA (484 nucleotides) under uncultured bacterium. RNAcentral's name for it is "bacterial SSU rRNA". It matches the Rfam family "Bacterial small subunit ribosomal RNA", at positions 502 to 982 of the family's 1533-position model. The record is from RNAcentral.
UACGUGCCAGCAGCCGCGGUAAUACGUAGGGCGCGAGCGUUGUCCGGAAUUAUUGGGCGUAAAGAGCUUGUAGGCGGUUUGUCGCGUCUGCUGUGAAAGGCCGGGGCUUAACUCCGUGUAUUGCAGUGGGUACGGGCAGACUAGAGUGCAGUAGGGGAGACUGGAAUUCCUGGUGUAGCGGUGGAAUGCGCAGAUAUCAGGAGGAACACCGAUGGCGAAGGCAGGUCUCUGGGCUGUAACUGACGCUGAGAAGCGAAAGCAUGGGGAGCGAACAGGAUUAGAUACCCUGGUAGUCCAUGCCGUAAACGUUGGGCACUAGGUGUGGGGAACAUUCCACGUUUUCCGCGCCGUAGCUAACGCAUUAAGUGCCCCGCCUGGGGAGUACGGCCGCAAGGCUAAAACUCAAAGAAAUUGACGGGGGCCCGCACAAGCGGCGGAGCAUGCGGAUUAAUUCGAUGCAACGCGAAGAACCUUACCAAGGCUU